GACGAACGCUGGCGGCGUGCUUAACACAUGCAAGUCGAACGAUGAAGAAGAGAAACGCGAACUUCGGUUCAAAUUUCACUUCGGAUUAGUGGCAGACGGGUGAGUAACGCGUGAGCAACCUACCUCUUACAAAGGGAUAGCCUCGGGAAACCGUGAUUAAUACCAUAUGACACAUUCAUAAGGCUUCUUAAGAAUGUUAAAGCUACGGCGGUAAGAGAUGGGCUCGCGUCCCAUUAGCUAGUUGGUGAGGUAACGGCCCACCAAGGCGACGAUGGGUAACCGGGCGGAGAGGGGGAACGGUCACAUUGGAACUGAGACACGGUCCAAACUCCUACGGGAGGGAGCAGAGGGGAAUAUUGCACGAUGGAGGGAACUCUGAUGCAGCGACGCCGCGUGAGCGAUGAAGGAAGUCGUUUCGUAAAGCUCUGUUCUAUGGGAAGAAAAGGACGGUACCAGAGGAGAAAGCCCCGGCUAAAUACGUG
Molecule: ribosomal RNA, 482 nt
Filed under: uncultured bacterium
Lineage: Bacteria
Description: partial 16S ribosomal RNA
Rfam family: Bacterial small subunit ribosomal RNA
Source: RNAcentral